GCGAAUAUGGCGAAAUAGGUAGACGCGUAUGGUUCAGGGUCAUAUGAUAAUUACUAUCAUGCAGGUUCGAUUCCUGUUAUUCGCA
Molecule: transfer RNA, 85 nt
Filed under: Cytophagales bacterium
Lineage: Bacteria; Pseudomonadati; Bacteroidota; Cytophagia; Cytophagales
Description: tRNA-Leu
Rfam family: tRNA
About the family: Transfer RNA (tRNA) molecules are approximately 80 nucleotides in length. Their secondary structure includes four short double-helical elements and three loops (D, anti-codon, and T loops).
Source: RNAcentral